UACAGAGGGUGCGAGCGUUAAUCGGAAUUAUUGGGCGUAAAGCGUCCGCAGGUGGCUAUUCAAGUCUGCGGUCAAAGACUGGGGCUUAACCCUGGAAAGGCCGUGGAAACUGAAGAGCUAGAGUGCAGUAGGGGUAGAGGGAAUUCCCGGUGUAGCGGUGAAAUGCGUAGAGCUCGGGAAGAACAUCGGUGGCGAAAGCGCUCUGCUGGACUGCAACUGACACUCAGGGACGAAAGCUAGGGGAGCGAAUGGG
RNAcentral lists this ribosomal RNA (253 nucleotides) under uncultured bacterium. RNAcentral describes it as "partial 16S ribosomal RNA". It matches the Rfam family "Bacterial small subunit ribosomal RNA", at positions 524 to 776 of the family's 1533-position model. The record is from RNAcentral.